CUACUGCUAUCCACAAGGAGAUAAUUUGAUUGGAGCUCUAAUGUCACUGGAGUGUUAGCACCUUGUAGGCAUCACUCCUUUGCUUGAAUCUAAAUCCUCAUCUUUUAGAUCUCGAAGAAGAGGACUAUAGCGCAAAUCUUUCGCAUUGAUUUGACGGGAUCUCUUCAGGAUGCCAAGAAGAGAAGCAAAAUAUUUUUUUUUUCUCUUCCUCUCUCUCAGAUCUGAUCUGAGAACAAAGUUGGGCAUAGGAUGGAAGAAGGAGAGGAGAAGGUGUGAAGAUUGUUUUGCGGCAAGGAAGGAAUCUUUUUCACAAAUCAUCAUACGCCAACACCUUUUUAUUUUCUUUUAUCGCACAAAAUUGCCUCCCAAUGCCCAACCCUGAUUAGAUAUGAUUCUCUUCUAGAUAAGAAACAUCCUUAUUCAAAUUUGGAUAGAGAUCAGGAUGUGAGAGAGUCCCAGAGAGGUGGGGUGCCAACUAUUGGUGCCCCCUCUCUAUUCACGCAUGCAAAGGAGAA
This 515-nucleotide long non-coding RNA is filed under the name Elaeis guineensis (African oil palm). RNAcentral describes it as "long non-coding RNA (EGUI_LNC043596)". The record is from RNAcentral. Lineage: Eukaryota; Viridiplantae; Streptophyta; Magnoliopsida; Arecales; Arecaceae.